This 503-nucleotide ribosomal RNA is filed under the name uncultured bacterium. RNAcentral's name for it is "partial 16S ribosomal RNA". It matches the Rfam family "Bacterial small subunit ribosomal RNA", at positions 30 to 523 of the family's 1533-position model. The record is from RNAcentral.
AUUGAGCGCUGGCGGCAGGCUUAACACAUGCAAGUCGAGCGGGGUGAUGGUGCUUGCACUAUCACUUAGCGGCGGACGGGUGAGUAAUACUUAGGAAUCUGCCUAUUAGUAGGGGACAACAUCUCGAAAGGGAUGCUAAUACCGCAUACGUCCUACGGGAGAAAGCAGGGGAUCACUUGUGACCUUGCGCUAAUAGAUGAGCCUAAGUCGGAUUAGCUAGUUGGUGGGGUAAAGGCCUACCAAGGCGACGAUCUGUAGCGGGUCUGAGAGGAUGAUCCGCCACACUGGGACUGAGACACGGCCCAGACUCCUACGGGAGGCAGCAGUGGGGAAUAUUGGACAAUGGGGGGAACCCUGAUCCAGCCAUGCCGCGUGUGUGAAGAAGGCCUUAUGGUUGUAAAGCACUUUAAGCGAGGAGGAGGCUCUUUUGGUUAAUACCCAAGAUGAGUGGACGUUACUCGCAGAAUAAGCACCGGCUAACUCUGUGCCAGCAGCCGCCGUAA